Molecule: long non-coding RNA, 2748 nt
Filed under: Heterocephalus glaber (naked mole-rat)
Lineage: Eukaryota; Metazoa; Chordata; Mammalia; Rodentia; Bathyergidae
Description: lncRNA (ENSHGLG00100034893.1)
Source: RNAcentral
CGGGUGCCGGCGUUGAGCGGAGCCCGAAACCUCGGCGCCCCACGCCUGGCUGGGGAAGCACGGCUGUGAGCAGGGUCUCGCUGUGCAGUUCAUGCUGACCUCGAAUUUGUGGCGAUCCUGCCGCCUCAGCCUCCCGAGCGGUGCGAUUGCGGGCGGGCAUCACCACGCCCAGCUUCUGAAGGGAGAAUUGAAGCCCCAUGGCGAGAGCCAAGAGAGACUUCAAUCAAGCAGAAGGACGUGGCAAGCGGGCACUUCCUCCCUGAGCCCUGACUCACUGCGUGGGGAGGGCAGCUGGAGCCCGCAGACCCACGGUGACGACUGUCGACCCCAGAGGCCUCCACGGAGAAGCGCACCACUGGAACGGAGUGGCGGAGGCGGCGGGCGGCAGUGGCUGCGUGAACGCCGUGUCUAUAGUUUGCUAUUGUUGUGGUGGUUGUGCUGUGUUCUUUUCUUGUUCAUAUUUCUUCCUUCUCUCUUUCUCUCCUGUCUUCUUCACCAGCUCCCCAAUGCUUGUGUAAUCUUCCUUUGUCCACCAGCCUUGCUUCUAAUCCCUUCCUCUUCCUCUAUUCCUCUCCCCAGCCCCCUCCCAGCAUCCCUUCAGUUUUCUCCCCUGAGGGUGAAAUCGCCCUAUUGAGGGCACGUUUACUGCAGGCAGUUUUCUGGUCUGUUUUAGAUUUUGUUCUAGAACCACAGAUACAGUUCAUAGGGUGAAAGGUAGCAAAUUAAUAGUCAGCACAGUCUGUCCCUCUCUAGGCUGUGUUUGAUGCUAUUGUCAUUGCUGAUGGUACUGCUUUAGCCAAGGUGACACAGUGGUUCUAAUCAGUCGUUCUUCCUGGCACGCCAAGACUGAGAUCGCCUAAGGGUCAUCAACAAUACUACGAGCCAGUGCCAAAGAACCAGGGGCUAGGCCAAAUAGGCAGCAACGUCUCAUCUGCAAGAGACUGAAGAGGUUCGAUCUCGCGACACACACACUCAAAACCCAAAAGCCAGAGGCCGGGCCUGGCCGGAGGCCUCGGGACUCGGCCUUGGUGCGCUGGCUGAGCGUCGGCGUGAUCCAUGGGCAGCAGCCGGGGCUGUGCUGACAGACUAAGGCGAGGAGCAGCGAAACGAGCUGGAGGCUCUGGGGUCCAUCUGCUCCGACCCCCUCACAGUAUUAUCAGAAACUCCAACCAGCUUCACCAUCACCGUGACAUCUGAGGCUGGAGAAAAUGACGAAACCCUCCAGUUUACAUACAGUGAAAAAUACCCGGAUGGGGCUCCCCUUUAUGAAGGAUUGCCCCAGGAAAACCUAGUAGAUAAUGAUGCCAGAGACAUUUUUAAAUUAUGAGCACUACGGGCUGAGGAAAAUCUUGGUGUGGUCAUGAUCUUUCCUCUGGUGACAGCAGUGCAGGAAGAAUUUAAUGAAAUAAUAGAUCAGAUAAAAACAAAAAUGAGAAGAGAGGAAGCAAAGAAACUGAAAGGAAAAGAAGCAGAAGAGGGAGAAGAAGCAGAGAAGCAAUUAUUCCACAGCACCCCUGUUACAAUUGAGAAUUUCUUCUGUUGGAAAGCCAAGUUGGAUGCAGGACUCUUGGAAAUUAACGGAAGAAGAAGAAGAAGAAGAAGAAGAAGAAGAAGAAGAAGAAGAAGAAGAAGAAGAAGAAGAAGCAGGAAAAAAUCAAGCUGUUUGAAACCGAUCAUAAUCUUGACACAUCUGAUAUCUAUCCAGUUCUUGGAGGAUGCUGGAAAUAAGCGGAAGUACACGAGUCUUUGAUCCAGGAGCUGGAUGACUUGGAGCGGGAGGAUGUUGAGGACGACCCGGACUCGCUCGAGGGCCACAGCAUCUGUGGCUGUGCUGAGAGGGUUUUAAUUUUCCACAUUUUUCUAAGAAAAAAUGACUUUCAGGAGAAUAUUCUUCUGAUAACGUUCACCAUUGAACUUAAUAAACUGACCAUAACGAGAGAGAGAGAGAGAGAGAGAGAGAGAGAGAGAGAGAGAGAGAGGGAGAGAGAGGGAGAGGGAGGGAGAGGGAGAGAGAGAGAGAGUACUCAAAAGCUGGCUACACCUGGAAGACAUCUCUGAGAAGUAGUCAUUUCCUGAGGGCUCGAAAUACCACUGAGAAAGCUACCUGCCAUGAGCAAUUCAUAAUCCUCAACCCAGGAAUUAAACUGAGAAAGUGAAAGAGAGAGAGAGAGAGAGAGACAGAGAGGGAGGCAUAUAUAUCUCCAUACAUGAAGAGAGGGCGAGCCUGGGGAGAAGACACUUAAGCAAGAUGCAACCCCACACUUACACCUCACCAGAGGCCAACCCAGGGGGCAAUGAGGUGGAACAAUGAAAAAAACCACCCAUCUGGACUCUCUGAAUUGGUAGCACUGGAAGGAAUAAAACAGAUGAAUGAGGCUCUAGAAAGAGCCACAUCAGAAAUAAGUUCUCAAACAGAGCUGAACCCAAAAUUCAGAAAAGAAAAUGAGCAAAUGGUCAAUAAGCCCAUGGAAAAUUGCUCCAUCUGUCUGCUCUUCAAGGAAAUACAAAGUAUAACUACGAUGAGAUACAACUACGUACACACUGGAAUGGCUACAAUUAAAAAGACUCACAAUACCAAGUGUUGUCAAAGAUGUGGGGCAACAACGUUCUCAUGCUUUGCUGGUGAGAAUAUGAAAUGGGUCAAACAGUUUAGAAAACAUUUUAAAAUCUUUGAUAAAGUUCAACAUGCAAUUAACUUACGUAUGACCCAGAAAUCCUGCUUCUAGACAUUUCCCAAAAGAAAUUAAA